UUAGGUUUAUACAACAAAAAACACUUGGUUACUUUUGCAAACUCCAGUCUCCGGGGUGAAAGACCUGUGUUUUGUUGCUAGAGGUCGUGUUCUUUUAUACCUUCUUUCGGCGAUCUACCAUGUGAAUAGAUGAUAAAACCUACUAGCGGGUCUAGUAGGCCCCUAUUGACCCACAUCUAUGGGGCUUAUAGCGACUGAUAAUUUCUAUUUAAUAGCCUAACAACAGUCUAAUCGGCUGGUUUUGAGGGCCUUCUUGAAUGAUGACAGUUUUGAUUUGGUUUGGUAAUGAAUCUCUGAAUCCCACAGAGACGGGGUGACGACUGAAAAUGUCCUGUCACCACCAGGUUCGGCACUUGGUCCUAUAGAGACGUGCAGGAGGUUGGUGUCAGCAGACCGUGACGGCAUCAGGAGGAGCCGUGCUUGUGGAGGAGGUCGGAGAGGAGCCGGGCUGUUGAGGCCUUUCGAAGUGACGGCGCAAAUGCAGAAGACCAGAAAACGCUGACCAAUCAGAGCAGACAGAAGGUGAAUACAGCAAACUCAGGAGCUGAAGACAGCAAGGCCUUACCGUGUUUCUCUGUCCGCUGGCUCCUAUUGGUCCUCUGAACACCCCCUUGAUGCUCCUCAGCUGUCCGUCACGCAGGUGGGUGGAACUGAUCACAAUGUAGUAGCACGCCAUCAGGUUCGAGUGGGUUUCAUACACUCAGAUAUCUAUCUGCACUUUGAAGAAAAAGUCUUCUUCAACUCUGUCCCGCUCUCCUCAUGGCGUCCCUCCUCCUCCUUGUUUUAUAAAGUAGAAGAGAAAUAAAGAAAUCUCUAAGUUUCUGCUCAGCUCUUUAAAUAUUUCACCCUCUGCUCCUCCUCUGCUUCCACUCUCAUCUUCUUGUCGUUGUCUAAAUGUUUUUUUUAUUCUUCUUCUUCCUCCUCCCUCUAGCUCUGCCUUUUUAAAUAUUUCUCUCUCUUUUUACAUCUCCAGAUGUUUUGCUCCCAUCUUUCAUUCAUCAAUCUUUCCUUGUCAUUGACUCCCCUCGCUCUUUUUCUUGCUGAGUCUUCCCGAAAUCUCAGCGUCUCAUUGAUCAGUUGCUCUAACUAUCUGCCGUCCGCUGCCUCGCUCUCUUCCUCACUUCACAAUCUCUCCGGUUUCCCCCUCCCUCUUUGUCUCUAAGUGGAUGGGAGGGAUACUUUUGUUCUGCCCAUCUCCUCUCAGUGUCUUUGUUUUCUGUCCUCGUCUCUUGUUAGUGAUGAGAAGAGAAGAGAAGAAGUCUUCGAUCAGCCUCCUCUCAGAUGCUUCCUCUGCUGCGCUGCAUGUGUUCGCUCUCCUCCUCCUCCUCCUCCUCCUCUCCGCUGAUCUCUUGCUCCGUGGCCAGCAGAGUGGUUUGCUCCUCAGUUACCCGCGGUUACCAUCUGCCCUUUUAACGCAUGGAGUGCUGACGCUUGCUCUCUCCUCCCUCCCUCCCUCUCCAUCCCUCCCUCUCCCUCUCCAUCCCUCCCUCUCCCUCCAUCUCUCUGCCUCUCCUCUUGCUGUCUUUCUUCUCUCUUUAAUCAUCUCCCUCUCUCCCUCCUUCUCGCUUUCUCUCCAGCCAAAGGAGACAAGCUCCACCUACUGGUGAGCAGAGAGGAAAGAGACUGAAACAACGUUCUGUGAUUCCA
Sebastes umbrosus (honeycomb rockfish) is the source of this 1647-nucleotide long non-coding RNA. RefSeq lists it as uncharacterized. NCBI's taxonomy places the organism in Eukaryota, Metazoa, Chordata, Actinopteri, Perciformes, Sebastidae. The transcript is spliced from 3 exons. The record is from RefSeq and is a predicted model, not a curated record.